Small nuclear RNA from Pantherophis guttatus, 108 nucleotides. The record is from RefSeq and is a predicted model, not a curated record. Lineage: Eukaryota; Metazoa; Chordata; Lepidosauria; Squamata; Colubridae.
GAGCUCAUUUCAGCAGCAUAGAUACUAAAAUUGGAACAAUACAGAAAAGAUUAGCAUGGGCCCCUGCAAAAAGAUAACACACAAAUUUGUGAAGAGUUCCAUUUUUUG